RNAcentral lists this ribosomal RNA (597 nucleotides) under Salmonella enterica. RNAcentral describes it as "partial 23S ribosomal RNA". It matches the Rfam family "Bacterial large subunit ribosomal RNA", at positions 624 to 1221 of the family's 2925-position model. The record is from RNAcentral. Lineage: Bacteria; Pseudomonadati; Pseudomonadota; Gammaproteobacteria; Enterobacterales; Enterobacteriaceae.
CGACUUAUAUUCUGUAGCAAGGUUAACCGUAUAGGGGAGCCGAAGGGAAACCGAGUCUUAACCGGGCGUUAAGUUGCAGGGUAUAGACCCGAAACCCGGUGAUCUAGCCAUGGGCAGGUUGAAGGUUGGGUAACACUAACUGGAGGACCGAACCGACUAAUGUUGAAAAAUUAGCGGAUGACCUGUGGCUGGGGGUGAAAGGCCAAUCAAACCGGGAGAUAGCUGGUUCUCCCCGAAAGCUAUUUAGGUAGCGCCUCGUGAAUUCAUCUCCGGGGGUAGAGCACUGUUUCGGCUAGGGGGCCAUCCCGGCUUACCAACCCGAUGCAAACUGCGAAUACCGGAGAAUGUUAUCACGGGAGACACACGGCGGGUGCUAACGUCCGUCGUGAAGAGGGAAACAACCCAGACCGCCAGCUAAGGUCCCAAAGUCAUGGUUAAGUGGGAAACGAUGUGGGAAGGCCCAGACAGCCAGGAUGUUGGCUUAGAAGCAGCCAUCAUUUAAAGAAAGCGUAAUAGCUCACUGGUCGAGUCGGCCUGCGCGGAAGAUGUAACGGGGCUAAACCAUGCACCGAAGCUGCGGCAGCGAACGUAUCACUU